UCACGGACUCGGUUGGUGAUGCGCAGUCUUUGAGAAGGAAAGCGCAUGGACAGUAGCAGCUGCAGCAAGAGGACGCGAUUCAGCGGUUUUUUCAACUUUUAUGUCCAACUUUGCUGACUGAUCAGCGGUGGUUUGUGAGCGUAGAGGGCCAGGUUGUCAGUGAGGGAGUGUCCUUUGUGCUGGGGCUUGCUGUUCUAAUGUCAACUUUCUACAACUUUAACCUGCAAUACCAGGACAAUGCUGCAUGCUCAUUGGAGUUCAUUCAGAGAAUCUGCAUGGGGAUUAAUCCUGAGAGAGGAUCAAAGGCAUACAGUGGACAGGCACCCAGCAGAAAAACUGGAAAGAUGGUCCAGAAGAAACCAUCAACAGUGAACCCGCAUGUCUGCACCCUAAUCAGCAAGCUCAACGACUUCAAGUGGGACUUUGUUUGAUCUUUUCUCAUAGUAUUGUAUUGUUUAAGCGCAGAUACCAUUUGUCGAUCAUCAAGGAACAAUAUAUGCCGAUAAAGGGCCAAUACUGAUUUUGUGUUGUUUAGUUUAGUUAUAUACAGCAGUUUCCCUGUUUGUAGUGUAUUGGGAUUGUGACUGGCAUAAUAGUGUGUGACUCCAUGGAGCUCAACAGUGACUUCUCACUUUUUUACGGUGGUUCGGGAACUUCUUUUUCCCCAGUUCAAGUGUUUCAUUGACGUUUCAAAAAUUGCUGAUAUAUAGAGUUUAUAGAGUUUUAACCCUGGAACUGAGCCAACCAGCUACAAGAUGAGUUACUAGUUUUGGUGAUUAUAAAACAUUUGAUUUGGCACAAAAAACAUUUUUAAAACAAUACUUGGUUACAAUACUGUGUAGAGAAACUAUCAUAGAUGUUCAAUGGUAGAGGCUCUAGCCAUUUGCGGUUUUGUGGAUACGGUAAACAUGUCUAUGGUAACAGCGAGUUGGACUAAUCAGAGACAUUGCUGUUAUGCUUAGGAUUGUGGGUAAUGUAAUUUUCUCCAUGGGAUCGCACAUAAAACAUGUUUUUCUUAAUGCAAGUUUGAUUUCAUAUGGACCUUUUGCUUUUACAACCUUGUAGCUCGGGGUCAGUCUGCCUCAGAUGAUUUAGAUCGAAAAUGAUAGACACAUUUUCCAUUGCACGUAGACGAGUGCCUUUGUUUUUUUCUUCUGGUGCGUAUGUUCAACGUCACAAACACGCCGCAAAACGGGUGUUAACUUUUUCUGCUACGGCUUUGAUACAGUUCACAAAACUGCAAACUCUGAUGUACGUAUACUCACAUGAUAUUUACAGUAUAAAUAAAGAGUUAAUUAGA
Perca flavescens (yellow perch) is the source of this 1300-nucleotide long non-coding RNA. RefSeq lists it as uncharacterized. The record is from RefSeq and is a predicted model, not a curated record. The transcript is spliced from 3 exons. NCBI's taxonomy places the organism in Eukaryota, Metazoa, Chordata, Actinopteri, Perciformes, Percidae.